UUCCGGUUGAUCCCGCCGGACCCGACUGCUAUCAGAGUGGGACUAAGCCAUGCGAGUCAACGCAGCAAUGCGUGGCAUACGGCUCAGUAACACGUAGUCAACAUGCCCAGGGGACGUGGAUAACCUCGGGAAACUGAGGAUAAACCGCGAUAGGCCAAGGUUUCUGGAAUGGAUCAUGGCUGAAACCUAUAUGGCCCCUGGAUUGGACUGCGGCCGAUCAGGCUGUUGGUGAGGUAAUGGCCCACCAAACCUGUAACCGGUACGGGCUCUGAGAGGAGGAGCCCGGAGAUGGGCACUGAGACAAGGGCCCAGGCCCUAUGGGGCGCAGCAGGCGCGAAACCUCUGCAAUAGGCGAAAGCUUGACAGGGUUACUCUGAGUGAUGUCCGCUAAGGGCAUCUUUUGGCACUUCUAAAAAUAGUGUAGAAUAAGGGGUGGGCAAGUCUGGUGUCAGCCGCCGCGGUAAAACCAGC
This 471-nucleotide ribosomal RNA is filed under the name uncultured crenarchaeote. RNAcentral's name for it is "bacterial SSU rRNA". It matches the Rfam family "Archaeal small subunit ribosomal RNA", at positions 1 to 480 of the family's 1478-position model. The record is from RNAcentral. Lineage: Archaea; Thermoproteati; Thermoproteota.